RNAcentral lists this transfer RNA (74 nucleotides) under Candidatus Endomicrobiellum trichonymphae. RNAcentral describes it as "Candidatus Endomicrobium trichonymphae tRNA". It matches the Rfam family "tRNA". Rfam says of the family: Transfer RNA (tRNA) molecules are approximately 80 nucleotides in length. Their secondary structure includes four short double-helical elements and three loops (D, anti-codon, and T loops). Lineage: Bacteria; Pseudomonadati; Elusimicrobiota; Endomicrobiia; Endomicrobiales; Endomicrobiaceae. The record is from Rfam by way of RNAcentral.
GCGCCCAUAGCUCAAUCGGAUAGAGCGUUUGACUACGAAUCAAAAGGUUAGAGGUUCAACUCCUCUUGGGCGCG